Molecule: ribosomal RNA, 253 nt
Filed under: uncultured bacterium
Lineage: Bacteria
Description: partial 16S ribosomal RNA
Rfam family: Bacterial small subunit ribosomal RNA
Source: RNAcentral
UACGAAGGGGGCUAGCGUUGCUCGGAAUCACUGGGCGUAAAGGGCGCGUAGGCGGCCGAUCAAGUCAGGGGUGAAAGCCUGUGGCUCAACCACAGAAUUGCCUUUGAUACUGUUUGGCUCGAGACCGGAAGAGGUUGGUGGAACUGCGAGUGUAGAGGUGAAAUUCGUAGAUAUUCGCAAGAACACCAGUGGCGAAGGCGGCCAACUGGUCCGGUUCUGACGCUGAGGCGCGAAAGCGUGGGGAGCGAACAGG